Corticium candelabrum is the source of this 326-nucleotide long non-coding RNA. RefSeq lists it as uncharacterized. The transcript is spliced from 3 exons. The record is from RefSeq and is a predicted model, not a curated record. Lineage: Eukaryota; Metazoa; Porifera; Homoscleromorpha; Homosclerophorida; Plakinidae.
AGAUGAUGCAGUUAUUUGAAGCGACAACUGAGCAACUGUCUCAGGAAAAGCUACUUCGACAGGAAACACAGGAGGAAUUGGACAAGGUUUCUUUCAGGGAAUUAGAAACAAAACAGGAGUUAAGAAAAACCAACGAGGAAUGUCAGAAGCAACAAUUCCUCGUUAAAGCACAUGCUGAAUGUGAAGCUGAGUUACACAAACAGGCUACACAGCUAUUGACUACAAUAAAAGACUCUGUUGAUGACGUUUACGGCUUACAUGCGAAGGUGGAAAGAACACAGCAAGUAGAAAGGCGCAAUGAGUUAUCAAAGCAAACAUUUAAGCAA